UUAGCGUUAGCCAUGAAUAAAACAUUAAGUACUGUGAGGUGGAAAUUGCAGAACCGCCAAUAAAGAGGCAGACAAGCUUGAGAAAUGGAUUAUGGUUAUAAAGGAAAAAAAAGAAGGAGCAGGAGAAUCGGUUUAUGCUACGUUGCUAAUCUGAGGAGGAUUACGGGGCUGAUACUGCGCUGGGGCGCAGGAGCAGAUCAAACAGCCCUGGGAUUAACUUCUGCAGAGCUGGGCCGUUUCGUGUUUUGUGUUUCCGACAGGUUUACAGGUCAGAGGUCCAGAACGAGCCGGCGGUGACCCAGUACCAGGCAGAAGAGGAUUUGCUACCAGAAGUCUGUGACAGCUUUCUGUUCAAGAGGCUACAAACCAUGAAGUCACACUACCAAGAAGAAAAAAAAUUCUUCAGAUGCUGCAUUCAGACACAAGGCUGCGUAAACAGAGUUCGGCCAAAGAGAGCAAUAGAAGAAAGGAAGGCAAAAAGAAAGAGGGACUGUGUGUGUGUGUGUGUGCGGGUGUGAGGCGGUUGCUACAGCCGUCUCUACGGGCAACCGGAGAAGAACCCUCCACCUCUCCGAGCACAAAGAAUUAAACACGAUCCUAUACGGAAUUAUUUUAAUUCCACAUGUCUGUCUGAAUCCACGGGAAACUGGGAACUGACCCUCCUCACGUCCUGUCUGCUGAAGAUACGGUAUUAAAAAGACAAGCCGACAGGCAGCAGAGCCGGAGCCAGCAGAGAGCCAGGUGCUGAGCUGGUAGAGCAGCCAGGCUGGGAAUGCAAGCUCGCUGGAUUGCUCACACACAGACUCCUGCGCUGCUCUGAGCCGGGCUUGAGUUCUAUAUUGUUUUAGAGCUCACAGGCAGGAGGAGCGCUGGCUGCUGGCAUGACGCGAGUCACAGUGCCAGCGGACAAUCAAGCUACAAGCAGUAAUGCCAGUCAUAAUUAAUGCCCACUGUGUCGCCCACACCAAUUAAUUGAAACGAUAUUGCAUUGAGACGCAGCGCCAGGUGUCUUUUGAAAGCUGCAGAACUACACAAGAGCUUGUUUCUAAACAUUUUCCAGAACAAAAAGUACACCUACAACUUUUUGUUUUACUUAGAAACUCAUUGAAACAUUACACACUGAAGUGCUUUGGAACAUGAAGGGGUGUCAUGUAUGUGAUGUCUUGAGCCAGACUUGACAGUUAGUACCAUGGACACAAGCUUGAGCAAGAGCGAUAGCAUUUGUUUCACUUAUUGAGGAUUUCCCUUUUUUUUUAUUUAAGCAACUUCCUUAUUAACCAACGUACAGUUUGGAAACUCAAUACAUCGCAUGAAUUCGAACACCUAGAGACAAGCUGGUUGGAUUUCUCUUUUUCAACAGUGACAACAUCGGCAUG
Molecule: long non-coding RNA, 1376 nt
Organism: Silurus meridionalis
Lineage: Eukaryota; Metazoa; Chordata; Actinopteri; Siluriformes; Siluridae
Exons: 3
Source: RefSeq, a predicted model, not a curated record